AUGGAUCCAAUAGUCAACCAGGGGUGGACCUCAUCCGAGGUAGAGGAGGCAUGCUCACUCAUUGCUAGGCUCAACACCAACAAAAUCAUGUACGACGAUAACGAUGACAAGAACAAGAAGCAUAACUACAUCGUGAAUUCUCUCCAUGCAUUGUUUCCUUCAAAUACCAUGAAACAGGUAACAGAUCUUUAUAUUAAUCUCGCCGUGGAAAUGCAUAUGAUCCAACGGAGGGAGGGAACCCAUGUUACUAGUGGUAGCCCGCAAAACAUUUUCACCUUGUGUGACCCUGUCAACGGUAACUAUGAGCUACCGAAGGAGGAGAAUGGUGCUAGCAGCACACACAGUAUCUACACCAUGGGCGACCAUGCGAAUGAAAACUUCGGUGUACGAGACGAGGCAACAAUCAUGGACAAUAAUGGAUUGUCCUUUGGUUGUGCAAUGGAGGAUACAGGGAUCACAGUGACGGGUGAGGCACCGCUGAUGGCAGACACCAACAAGAUGGAGGUGUUGGAGAACAAUAUUUCCAUAGAUCAACCAGUUGUUGCCCCACAUCAAUGGGGUUUUUGGAUCGACGAGGAACACAUCAUGGGUAGCCUUGUUAAUGAAAACUUUGAGGUACAAGAGGACGAGGAUACGACCAUGAUUGAUAAUGGAUUUUCAUUUCGUUGCGCAUUGGAGGAUACAAGAAUCAGGAAGAUGGAGGAGGCUCCGAUGAUGGUAGACAAGAACAAGGUGGUGGUCUUGGAGAACAAUACUUCCACUGAUCGACCAGUUGUUGCCGCACAUCAACGAAAGUAUUGGACCAAAGAGGAACACAAGUCAUUUCUUUAUGGGCUGGAAGUCUAUGGCCGUGGCGACUCGAAAAACAUAUCUAAGCACUUCGUCACCACUAAGACCCCUGUUCAAGUUUCAAGCCAUGCACAAAAGUUUUUGAAGAGAAUACAGAAAAAGGGAUCGUCAGGGACAAAGCGUUACAGCAUCAAUGAUGUCAGGCUCCAUGACAAUGAGCUAUUGGCAGCAAAUAAUAGUUCUGCCCCUCGGCAAACCCUUUCUUUCACCGGCCUCAAUAAUGACCCAAGCUUUAGGUUGCAGGCUCCGACGAGCUCGUUCGCAGUCAUGAACAACCUAACUCAGUGCUCCCCUUCCAUAUAUAAUCAACAAGUGGGUCAGCAGCCAAUGCGGUGUGAGCAGCAGAUGAUGAGUUCUGUUGCAGCUGUAAUGGACGGGGUUGGAAACUAUGUGCCAGCUGAUGGCCAGCAAGGGUCAGCUUAUUUUUAUCUUGGCAAUGUAUGA
RNAcentral lists this ribosomal RNA (1293 nucleotides) under Triticum aestivum (bread wheat). RNAcentral's name for it is "partial small subunit ribosomal RNA". The record is from RNAcentral. Lineage: Eukaryota; Viridiplantae; Streptophyta; Magnoliopsida; Poales; Poaceae.